GUCAAGAAAAGUCUCUAUCGAGGUUAAAGGUACCCGUACCGCAAACCGACACAGGUGGGUGAGGAGAGUAUCCUAAGGCCAGCGAGAGAACUGUUGUUAAGGAACUCGGCAAAAUGACCCCGUAACUGAGGGAUAAGGGGUGCCACCAUCAGGUGGCCGCAGAGAAUAGGCCCAAGCGACUGUUUACCAAAAACAUAGGUU
This 201-nucleotide ribosomal RNA is filed under the name Clostridioides difficile. Its description in RNAcentral is "partial 23S ribosomal RNA". It matches the Rfam family "Bacterial large subunit ribosomal RNA", at positions 1607 to 1821 of the family's 2925-position model. The record is from RNAcentral. Lineage: Bacteria; Bacillati; Bacillota; Clostridia; Peptostreptococcales; Peptostreptococcaceae.